AGGACGGCGCUCCUAUUUUGUUGGUUUCUAGGAGAGCCGUAAUGAUUAAUAGGGACAGUUGGGGGCAUCCGUAUUCAGUUGUCAGAGGUGAAAUUCUUGGAUUUACUGAAGACGAACUACUGCGAAAGCAUUUGCCAGAGAUGUUUUCAUUAAUCAGUGAACGAAAGUUAGGGGAUCGAAGACGAUCAGAUACCGUCGUAGUCUUAACCAUAAACUAUGCCGACUAGGGAUCGGGCGAUGUUAUUGUAUUGACUCGCUCGGCACCUUUCGAGAAAUCAAAGUGUUUGGGUUCUGGGGGGAGUAUGGUCGCAAGGCUGAAACUUAAAGAAAUUGACGGAAGGGCACCACCAGGAGUGGAGCCUGCGGCUUAAUUUGACUCAACACGGGGAAACUCACCAGGUCCAGAUACACAUAGGAUUGACAGAUUGAGAGCUCUUUCUUGAUUGUGUAGUUGGUGGUGCAUGGCCGUUCUUAGUUGGUGGAGUGAUUUGUCUGCUUAAUUGCGAUAGCGAACGAGACCUUCAUCGUUAACUAGCCCGGCUCGCCUUGGCGGGUCGCCGGCUUCUUAGCGAGACUUUUGGCUUAAGCCAAAGGAAGUUGGAGGCAAUAACAGGUCUGUGAUGCCCUUAGAUGUUCUGGGCUACACGCGCGCUACACUGACAGAGGCAACGAGUCUCGUUCCUUGGCCGGAAGGCCUGGGUAAUCAUGUAAUUCAA
Molecule: ribosomal RNA, 716 nt
Filed under: uncultured fungus
Lineage: Eukaryota; Fungi
Description: SSU rRNA
Rfam family: Eukaryotic small subunit ribosomal RNA
Source: RNAcentral